ACACGCAUGGUGAAGCGGUUAUCAUGCUUGCCUUCCACGAGCCGAGUCACGUGAUGAUAGCAAGCGGCAGGGGUUCGACUCCCCUUGCGUGUA
This is a non-coding RNA of Roridomyces roridus, 93 nucleotides long. The record is from the annotation of a GenBank genome assembly. NCBI's taxonomy places the organism in Eukaryota, Fungi, Basidiomycota, Agaricomycetes, Agaricales, Mycenaceae.